This is a long non-coding RNA of Haliotis rubra (blacklip abalone), 149 nucleotides long. RefSeq lists it as uncharacterized. The transcript is spliced from 3 exons. The record is from RefSeq and is a predicted model, not a curated record. Lineage: Eukaryota; Metazoa; Mollusca; Gastropoda; Lepetellida; Haliotidae.
GCAUCGGUCUGCGCAAUUGGGAACCGAUGACAUGUGUCAACCAAGCCAGCGAGCCUGACCACCCGAUCCCGUUAGUCACCUCUUACGACAAGCAUGGGUUACUGAAUGUACAUUCCUACCCGGACCUUUACGGGCCACGAGAUGGAGCA